Long non-coding RNA from Chinchilla lanigera (long-tailed chinchilla), 589 nucleotides. RefSeq lists it as uncharacterized. The record is from RefSeq and is a predicted model, not a curated record. The transcript is spliced from 3 exons. NCBI's taxonomy places the organism in Eukaryota, Metazoa, Chordata, Mammalia, Rodentia, Chinchillidae.
AACAAGCCCCGCCUCACGGAGCCGGCGGAGUGCAGCAGCUUCAGUGCGCAACCUGCCCGCGGGGGUUUUCGUUAUUACUGUUGCCAGAACUCCAGGCUUAUAAUUGACGAGUCAGACCCACGUGUCACUUCGAGAGAAACCCCAGCCUAAAACAGGAAUGCAGCUCAGGAAAACACCAACCCGGAUAAAUAAAUCUUGUGUCAAAUGCAGAAAGCGGGCAAAAUACUGCUCUUACAACAGCUAGGGUGAAGCUUCCACGUGGACCACAUUCUCCCGAGACGCACACUGAGGCGCACACUGCGGCCACGCCGUGACACAGCACUCGAGGCACAGGCGGAGGCCAGGUCUGGGCUGAGGUGUCUCCACGUCCCCAGAGUACCGUCCGCUCUCAGGUGCUGGGUAUUUAGUCCCAGAGAGGAGGAAAGUGACUAAGACGCCUGUCUCAAAGUGAAGAGGAAAAAGGGCUGGGGCCGCGGCUGGUGAACACUAUUGCCCAGCAUGUGCAAGGCAGGUGUCCUGCGUGUGCAAGGCCGGUGCGUCCCCAGUGCAGGGGAAGCAGCUGUCUACGGUGCAGCUCGCACACGGCGCU